UACUGUUGUAUAAUUUUUGAAGUUGGUGAAGUUCAGUCUACAGUUUUUAUUUUUAGUCACCUCACUGUAGGCAACUCUUUGGUCAUUUUCUCUGAAAAAAUUUUGGAGAUGAGGUUACGAUGGCUUUCAGAUUAAAACAUUUCCUAUUAUUUUGCAUGCAAACUUGUUUACUGUGUUCAAACAGUGGCCAGUCUUGAGAACAAACAACACCUGCCCUUUUAAUGUCUUUCAUACCAUUGCAAUUAGCCCCAGAAACUCCUGCUGUCCCAAGCUUAAAAUAAAAACCCUAAUGUACAUUGGCUCCUCCUAUGCACAGUACUGCAUUCAGAACAUGCUGUUAAAUGUCAGAGCUCCUAUGGUUAUGACUGAAAAAUUAAAUGACAAAAACAGCACAAAAAUAUAUUUUGGAUACUAUUUAGCCAAGUUAAUGACAAAGACAGAGAGUAUUUGAAAAAAUUGGUAUCCUUCUAUAAUGUUUCAAAUAUAU
This 487-nucleotide long non-coding RNA is filed under the name Homo sapiens (human). RNAcentral's name for it is "non-protein coding lnc-ZNF99-4:1". Lineage: Eukaryota; Metazoa; Chordata; Mammalia; Primates; Hominidae. The record is from RNAcentral.